This is a long non-coding RNA of Silurus meridionalis, 93 nucleotides long. RefSeq lists it as uncharacterized. Lineage: Eukaryota; Metazoa; Chordata; Actinopteri; Siluriformes; Siluridae. The record is from RefSeq and is a predicted model, not a curated record. The transcript is spliced from 3 exons.
ACGAAGACUCUGAAGAUGCAGAAUACCAAAACUCACAAAAAUAUCAGUGUUGAAAAACAGCUUCUGGCACUUCAAGAAGUGAACACCAGACAA